Molecule: ribosomal RNA, 347 nt
Filed under: uncultured eukaryote
Lineage: Eukaryota
Description: LSU rRNA
Rfam family: Bacterial large subunit ribosomal RNA
Source: RNAcentral
UCUUGCGCAGCUUAGGUGGGAGGCUAUGAACCUUUUCUUCUGGGAAGAGGGGAGCCAUCAGUGAGAUACCACUCUUGGUAAGCUAGAGCGCUCAGUCUUCACCGUCAUCCGGUAAGACGACAGUUUCAGGCGGGCAGUUUGACUGGGGCAGUCACCUCCCAAAAGGUAAUGGAGGUGUGCAAAGGUUCCCUCAGGCUGGACGGAAAUCAGCCAUAGAGUGUAAAAGCAUAAGGGAGCUUGACUGCGAGACUGACAUGUCAAGCAGAGACGAAAGUCGGCUUUAGUGAUCCGACGGUGCUGUGUGGAAAGGCCGUCGCUCAACGGAUAAAAGUUACUCUAGGGAUAAC